ACUCGUAUCGUAACAGGUAGCCGUAGAGUUUGGUUGUGGAGUGGCGGACGGGUGAGUAAUGUCUGGGAAACUGCCUGAUGGAGGGGGAUAACUACUGGAAACGGUAGCUAAUACCGCAUAACGUCGCAAGACCAAAGAGGGGGACCUUCGGGCCUCUUGCCAUCAGAUGUGCCCAGAUGGGAUUAGCUAGUAGGUGGGGUAAUGGCUCACCUAGGCGACGAUCCCUAGCUGGUCUGAGAGGAUGACCAGCCACACUGGAACUGAGACACGGUCCAGACUCCUACGGGAGGCAGCAGUGGGGAAUAUUGCACAAUGGGCGCAAGCCUGAUGCAGCCAUGCCGCGUGUGUGAAGAAGGCCUUCGGGUUGUAAAGCACUUUCAGCGAGGAGGAAGGUGGUGAACUUAAUACGUUCAUCAAUUGACGUUACUCGCAGAAGAAGCACCGGCUAACUCCGUGCCAGCAGCCGCGGUAAUACGGAGGGUGCAAGCGUUAAUCGGAAUUACUGGGCGUAAAGCGCACGCAGGCGGUUUGUUAAGUCAGAUGUGAAAUCCCCGGGCUCAACCUGGGAACUGCAUUUGAAACUGGCAAGCUAGAGUCUCGUAGAGGGGGGUAGAAUUCCAGGUGUAGCGGUGAAAUGCGUAGAGAUCUGGAGGAAUACCGGUGGCGAAGGCGGCCCCCUGGACGAASACUGACGCUCAGGUGCGAAAGCGUGGGGAGCAAACRGGAUUAGAUACCCUGGUAGUCCACGCUGUAAACGAUGUCGAUUUGGAGGUUGUGCCCUUGAGGCGUGGCUUCCGGAGCUAACGCGUUAAAUCGACCGCCUGGGGAGUACGGCCGCAAGGUUAAAACUCAAAUGAAUUGACGGGGGCCCGCACAAGCGGUGGAGCAUGUGGUUUAAUUCGAUGCAACGCGAAGAACCUUACCUACUCUUGACAUCCAGAGAACUUUCCAGAGAUGGAUUGGUGCCUUCGGGAACUCUGAGACAGGUGCUGCAUGGCUGUCGUCAGCUCGUGUUGUGAAAUGUUGGGUUAAGUCCCGCAACGAGCGCAACCCUUAUCCUUUGUUGCCAGCGGUUCGGCCGGGAACUCAAAGGAGACUGCCAGUGAUAAACUGGAGGAAGGUGGGGAUGACGUCAAGUCAUCAUGGCCCUUACGAGUAGGGCUACACACGUGCUACAAUGGCAUAUACAAAGAGAAGCGACCUCGCGAGAGCAAGCGGACCUCAUAAAGUAUGUCGUAGUCCGGAUUGGAGUCUGCAACUCGACUCCAUGAAGUCGGAAUCGCUAGUAAUCGUAGAUCAGAAUGCUACGGUGAAUACGUUCCCGGGCCUUUACACACCGCCCGUCACCCCAUGUGAUACCGGUUACCCUUAGAGUUGGACCCUGGCCCAGUAUCGUACCAGUAGCCUA
Molecule: ribosomal RNA, 1408 nt
Filed under: Serratia sp. WL-2007
Lineage: Bacteria; Pseudomonadati; Pseudomonadota; Gammaproteobacteria; Enterobacterales; Yersiniaceae
Description: bacterial SSU rRNA
Rfam family: Bacterial small subunit ribosomal RNA
Source: RNAcentral